This 253-nucleotide ribosomal RNA is filed under the name uncultured bacterium. RNAcentral describes it as "partial 16S ribosomal RNA". It matches the Rfam family "Bacterial small subunit ribosomal RNA", at positions 524 to 776 of the family's 1533-position model. The record is from RNAcentral.
UACGAAGGGGGCUAGCGUUGCUCGGAAUUACUGGGCGUAAAGCGCACGUAGGCGGCUUUGUCAGUUAGAGGUGAAAGCCCGGGGCUCAACCCCGGAAUUGCCUUUAAGACUGCAUCGCUUGAAUCCAGGAGAGGUGAGUGGAAUUCCGAGUGUAGAGGUGAAAUUCGUAGAUAUUCGGAAGAACACCAGUGGCGAAGGCGGCUCACUGGACUGGUAUUGACGCUGAGGUGCGAAAGCGUGGGGAGCAAACAGG